Molecule: ribosomal RNA, 254 nt
Filed under: uncultured bacterium
Lineage: Bacteria
Description: partial 16S ribosomal RNA
Rfam family: Bacterial small subunit ribosomal RNA
Source: RNAcentral
UACGGGGGGAGCAAGCGUUGUUCGGAUUUACUGGGCGUAAAGGGCGCGUAGGCGGUCAGCACAAGUCAGUUGUGAAAUCUCCGGGCUUAACUCGGAAAGGUCAACUGAUACUGUGCGACUAGAGUGCAGAAGGGGCAACUGGAAUUCUCGGUGUAGCGGUGAAAUGCGCAGAUAUCAGGAGGAACACCGAUGGCGAAGGCAGCUCGCUGGGACGGUACUGACGCUGAGGCGCGAAAGCGUGGGGAGCAAACAGG